RNAcentral lists this ribosomal RNA (448 nucleotides) under uncultured bacterium. RNAcentral's name for it is "SSU rRNA". It matches the Rfam family "Bacterial small subunit ribosomal RNA", at positions 26 to 518 of the family's 1533-position model. The record is from RNAcentral.
AGAGCGAACGCUGGCGGCAGGCCUAAUACAUGCAAGUCGAACGGACCCUUCGGGGUUAGUGGCGGACGGGUGAGUAACACGUGGGAACGUGCCCUUUGGUUCGGAACAACACAGGGAAACUUGUGCUAAUACCGGAUAAGCCCUUACGGGGAAAGAUUUAUCGCCAAAAGAUCGGCCCGCGUCUGAUUAGCUAGUUGGUGAGGUAACGGCUCACCAAGGCGACGAUCAGUAGCUGGUCUGAGAGGACGAUCAGCCACACUGGGAUUGAGAACGGCCCAGACUCCUACGGGGGGCAGCAGUGAGGAAUUUUCCGCAAUGGGCGCAAGCCUGACGGAGCAACGCCGCGUGCAGGACGACGGCCUUCGGGUUGUAAACUGCUUUUCUGGGGGACCGAGCAAGGACGGUACCCCAGGAAUCGAGCCCCGGCUAACUACGUGCCAGCAGCCGC